AUUGAACGCUGGCGGCAGGCCUAACACAUGCAAGUCGAGCGGAUGAAGGGAGCUUGCUCCUGGAUUCAGCGGCGGACGGGUGAGUAAUGCCUAGGAAUCUGCCUGGUAGUGGGGGAUAACGUCCGGAAACGGGCGCUAAUACCGCAUACGUCCUGAGGGAGAAAGUGGGGGAUCUUCGGACCUCACGCUAUCAGAUGAGCCUAGGUCGGAUUAGCUAGUUGGUGGGGUAAAGGCCUACCAAGGUGACGAUCCGUAACUGGUCUGAGAGGAUGAUCAGUCACCAUGGAACUUGAACACGGACCCUGCUCCUACGGGAGGCAGCAGUGGGGAAUAUUGGGCAAUGGGCGAAAGCCUGAUCCAGCCAUGCCGCGUGUGUGAAGAAGGUCUUCGGAUUGUAAAGCACUUUAAGUUGGGAGGAAGGGCAGUAAGUUAAUACCUUGCUGUUUUGACGUUACCAACAGAAUAAGCACCGGCUAACUUCGUG
Molecule: ribosomal RNA, 484 nt
Filed under: uncultured bacterium
Lineage: Bacteria
Description: partial 16S ribosomal RNA
Rfam family: Bacterial small subunit ribosomal RNA
Source: RNAcentral